Molecule: long non-coding RNA, 1565 nt
Organism: Homarus americanus (American lobster)
Lineage: Eukaryota; Metazoa; Arthropoda; Malacostraca; Decapoda; Nephropidae
Exons: 2
Source: RefSeq, a predicted model, not a curated record
ACAUGUUCCUCACCAGGCUGUCACACCACAACACAUGUUCCUCACCAGGCUGUCACACCACAACACAUGUUCCUCACCAGGCUGUCACACCACAACACAUGUUCUUCACCAGGCUGUCACACACAUAGGUAAACAUCAGGUAACUACGUGACCUCCUCCAACACAGUGAAGGAAGAAACCACAACAAAACAAUGACCGUAGAAUACAUAAUUACCCCCCUUAACGACCAAUUUACCCGUUGGAACGCCUUGUUAGCUUUAAUUAAAUGAAGCAUAUGUAUAUAAUUUCAAGGGUAUUAAUGGUAAAGCUUAACUUCAGUUCAGACAGUCUUUUUUAUAUGUUAAGUAAGCAAACCUUACUUAAUUUAGUUUUAGUUACGUGAAGAUAACAUAGAUAAGGUUAGGUUAGCAGGGUAGGUUAGGCUAGGUUAGGUUAGUUAGGUUAAUUUGAAUAGGUAAGUAGGGUAGGUGAGUUAGGUUAAUCUGAAUAGGUUAGCAGAGUAGGUCAGUUAGGUUAAUCUGAAUAGGUUAGCAGGGUAGGUGAGUUAGGUUAUUCUGAAUAGGUUAGCAGAGUAGGUCAGUUAGGUUAAUCUGAAUUGGUUAGCAGGAUAGGUUAGUUAGGAUAACCUGAAUAGAUUAGUUAGUUAGAUUAGUUAGGUUCGGUUAGUGGUGAGGCAAUUAUUUUUAGUUUGCAUUACAUUUUUUCCCAAGAUGACUCUUAAGUACAAAUCAGUUCAAAUGGUCGCGUGUCCCCUCCACCCCCCACUCCCCAAAGAGAAGACUUUAUUGACAUCGCGCUUGGGCUUGAUAGAUUAUAUUUAUUUAUUUAUUUUUUAUUAUUAUUAUUUUUUUUGCAUUUGAAGUCUCUGUAUCUCAUGCUUCAUCUCAUAGAUAGAUAGAUAGAUAGAUAGAUAGAUAGAUAGAUGAUUCUCAAUAACGCCUGUUUUCUUUGUAUAUAUUAAUAAUGAUAAUGGUGAUGGUGAUAAUGACGAUGAUAAUGAUGAUGACAAUUAUAAAAACCUUCAUAUCCUCGUUUCUGUUACUCUCUCUCUCUCACCUUUUUUCUCUCUUUCUUUUUAUCUUUAACGCUCUCUCUCUCUCUCUCCAUCUUCAGUAUUCAAUUUCUUGUGAUAAAUAUAUACUGUUAAUUAUAUAGAAAUUUUUUAUUAGUGCGUUGCUCCACUAAUAAUUAAUUGUAAAUCUAAGUAAUCGUUUAUAUGACAAUUGCAAGUAAUAGAGUUUUUUAAGUGUUAGUGGGUGAUAUAAGUGUACUGGAAACUAUAAGUGGUAUUGAGAGAAAAUUAUAAGUGUAUGCUUGUAUAGGAUUGAUAAGUGACUUAUUUAAGUGUGUGGAUAAUUGUAAAUGUGCAACAGUGUGUCAUCUAAGAGUACUUAAGCUUGUAUAUGGCAAUGAUGACUUUAAAGUGUACAUAUGUAUGGUUUUAAUGAUUUAAGUGUACUUAGAAUAAGAAACAGGUAAAAAAAGGUUCAUUUAAGUCCAAUGAGAAAUAUAAUUGGUCAAUGAUGUAUUAAGUGUGCUUAGAAUUAAAAAAAGAGAAAUACUUA